GCACUCAAUUCCUGGUCAGACUGGAUUCUGCGACGAGUAAAAAACCCGCUCGAGGUCCACUGAAAACAGGAAUGUAUUAUGGGAAGUUGCCAAAACUGCAAAUGUGGGUUUGUUUUUGGGACCUUCAUAUUUGUGUGUUUCUGUGCGUGUGCACGAUGCCGUGGGAUCAGGUUCUGCCGCUGGUUGAAACCUGUACGAAUCCGAUGCUUGUCGGCAGCGCUCAUGGCAUUUGCUUGAUUUGUAGUCCCGAUUUGUCGUGCGUGUGAGAUGGAGCUAAAAAAAAUUCUUCUGUUUUUUACCAAUAACUUGAUCUUGCUUCUGGUUGAAGUUGUGAUAUGGAUUUGAUGUGGUUGACAGUUGAGAAAGCCAGAUUGUGAAGGUGUCCAAAUUCUCACUGCUCAUGGCAUUUGAUUGACCUACUCCCCCCGUCCCAUAAUAUAAGAACGUUUUUGACACUAGUGUAGUAUCAAAAACACUCUUAUAAUAUGGGACGGAGGGAGUAGAAAACUGAGCUACAGGAUUGUGUUUAGAAGCCGUAUCUAGUGUUCGUUAUUUUUGGUGUUACUCACCAAACGUUGAAGUACGAUAGCAUUGCAAGUCUAAACAAGCAAAUCAGAGUGGCGCAGCGGAAGCGUGGUGGGCCCAUAACCCACAGGUCCCAGGAUUGAAACCUGGCUCUGAUAAUUGAUUUUUGAGGGAAGGCUCUGAUAGAUUGCUGUUCUAUUUUUGUGAUUUUUCCUAUUGGGCCCGGUUCAAUAUGACUGGGCUUUUAUUUUCCAGGGCUGAUAAUGAGCAGUGGCGCGCAUGGCCCUGUACGACGUGGCUCCUCUUCCUAACGUCACCCGAAAUUCUUUUCUUGUCCUCAUAUUUACUUUAUUUACAUUUUAAACUAAAUGCAUACCCCUAUUUUUUGUAAAAUUUAAAUGCAUAUAUUUCAAGAAUAUAAAUUUACUCAUUGAAUUUAAAAUCACGAGUUUGAAAAAAAAACGUUAACACAGUAUAAAAAUCUGUUACGCAGUUUAAAAAAAAUGAUGACAACUUUCAAAAAAAUGUUACUGAUGAUGAAAAAUAUUCCUGCGUUUCAAGACAAUGCAUGUAAUUAAACCCGCAUGGAAGCCGAGAAACCUACUGAUGUAAAAUAUUCGUAAACAUAUUAAAAUUUGCGAAUGUUUUAAAAAAAUUAUGAAUAUUUAAUAAAACCCGAGGGUACAAAUAAUCUGGCUGAUGUAAAAAUAUCGGCUGAAAAUUAAAAGCUGUCUGUAAAUCACUGUACCGUACACCAAAAUGGAUUGGACCGUAUGGAUCGUUCUCCUUCCGAACAGAGCAACAGAAAUGAAAAAUAUCGGUUGAGAAAUAAAAACCGUUUGUAAACCAUCAUACUGUACAACAAAACUGAUCGGACCGACAAACCAACAUGUGGUAGGAUGGUUAGGAGGACAGUGGUAUCCAUAGCCCACCAGAGUAUAAGUCCUAAAAUUGACAUUGGUGCUCGCAUUUUUCUGGAUUUAUUUCAGUUUUCCGGCGACGUUCGUUCAAUGGGAGGAGACGUACUCGUUGAGUACGAGGCGCCUAUGAUGGCUUCAGAAAAUCUCAAGAUGCUAUGUCAGCUCAGCCUCUCGGAGGUACUCAUAGGGGUAUGGUGUGUAUGAGUUUUUUUAAUAGCAAAGAUAGCUAGGCUUUUAUUAAUUGGUAAAGAUGUUUACAGGAAAAGCUAUUAGGUCACUUGACGUGCCCAACCAAAGAUGCCGCCCUAGGGAAGAGAGACACCUGACCUAACUAGCCUAUGAGCUUCAAAAUUAGAAGCUUGAGGUUCAAAUGAAAAAUUAUAAUAAUUAAGCAUUCUAACAGUUUGCAAAAUCUCUUUGAGAACACUCCCAUAGUUUCCUCCAACUCCUUGGUGAAUAUGAUUAUUGACCUGUUUGCAAUCUGAUGCGAUCUGAAGAUGAUGCAUGCCCAAGUCUCGUGGCAACGAUAAAGCCUCUCGGCAUGCUAAAGCUUCUAGGAGUAGCAGGAUUAGAAAUGCCAUGAAUCACUAGCACCGAAGACCCAGUAUAGGAACCAUCUCGGUCUCGACAAAAGAUGGUCUUGACAAAUUGCUGCUGCUGUGCCUACAUUGUGCUCCACUGAUAAUCCCGCAUCAACAUUAAUUUUUAUUUGUCCUGCAGCAGACAGGAUCCAGCGGUGUUGCCCAUUAUUGCAUGUAGUCCGAAUCAUACCAGGUGCUUCUCGUGUUCCCAAAAGUCGAUCCAACUCUGAGAUAAAGCUUGAAACAAAUCUAUGUGUUUCAUAGGGACUCUAAUUAAUCCCUUCAUGUGCUUUCGAACGUCCUCUAUCGGCAACGAAUUCUUUGACAAUCACCAUAAGAAAACUUUUAUCUGCAUAAGUAGAGAGUGUAUGAGUGCGUUUAUAGGAAUGAAUGUAUACUCGUGCAUGUGGGAAGUUGCCAAAACUGCAAAUGUGGGUUUGUUUUUGGGACCUUCAUAUUUGUGUGUUUCUGUGCGUGUGCACGAUGCCGUGGGAGCAGGUUCUGCCGCUGGUUGAAACCUGUACGAAUCCGAUGCUUUUCGGCAGCGCUCAUGGCAUUUUGCUUGAUUUGUAGUCCCGAUUUGUUGUGCGUGUGAAAUGGAGCUAAAAAAAUUUCUUCUGUUUUUACUAAUAACUUGAUCUUGCUUCUGGUUGAAGUUGUGACAUGGAUUUGAUGUGGCUGACAGUUGAGAAAGCCAGAUUGUGAAGGUG
This 2736-nucleotide long non-coding RNA is filed under the name Triticum aestivum (bread wheat). RNAcentral's name for it is "long non-coding RNA (TAES_LNC012866)". The stretch from base 612 to 683 matches the Rfam family "tRNA". Lineage: Eukaryota; Viridiplantae; Streptophyta; Magnoliopsida; Poales; Poaceae. The record is from RNAcentral.